Molecule: long non-coding RNA, 1967 nt
Organism: Canis lupus familiaris (dog)
Lineage: Eukaryota; Metazoa; Chordata; Mammalia; Carnivora; Canidae
Exons: 2
Source: RefSeq, a predicted model, not a curated record
CCAGGCUGCAGGGCUCUGGGAUUCUAAAGCACAGCCUCCCGCAUCUGCCAUCCCCCAUGCCCCUUUGCCCCGCAUGGCCUGUGUCCCCCUCUGUGUAUGUGCCAUCCCGGGAACAGAUGGAGCUCAAGAGUCACUCUCAGAAUAACAGAGUCGGUUCAGUUUAGCAGGGACAUUUUAAAGACAAUGGUUCAACUCAAAGGAGGUGCCCCACACCCAGCUGGAGAGAAGUGAGGGCUGGUGGCAACAGCAAUCCCAAGGGGAAAUGGCAAAAUGGAACCAAGCCUCCAUGAACUCAGCUAAUGGAAGAUGAGAAGAAAGCAGAAGAGGGAAAUUCUGAGAUACACUCCAAUGGCAAUUCAGCCGUGUCUUUUUGCCUGAGCUGCUGAGGGUCAAAACGAAGUGGCUGAUGACACUUGGUGGCAUCUUCAUCCCUACAUAGGUUGUAUACACUGACAGUGGGGGCAGGAGGAGAGUUGGUUGUGGCUGAGUAGAGGGACAGAAAUUGAAGAGACAUCACCCUUCCAACAGUACUUAGGGAGGAGGAAGUGGUGGGGAAGAGGUAAACCAAUGAUACUAUCCUUGCUCAUUCAGGCAAGACAGUUAUGCCAAUGUCCCCAGACGUCACAGUAUCCUGGAAUCAUACUGCUGGGGGCGAACUUAGAGGCUAUCUCCUCCGACUCCAUUAUUUUAAAGAGUAGGAGAUGCAGAUCCAGAGAGGGAAGUGACCUGUCACAGUCAUACCACUGGAUGAUGAUGGAACCAAAAGCCUAAUUCCGGGCUGUUUCCAUGACAAGAACCCAGGAUGGGAUCUGCAACAGGCCUUGGUGGAGUUCAGCGUUGUUUGGGAGCCGGAUUUGUGGCUGAGAGGUUCAUAACUGAGAGAACCUAGAUGCCCUUGGUUUGACAUUUCUACCCCACUGAAGGAACUAGUCUCUAUUAAGAUCAGUUGAACUCUCAAAAGCCAGAUCAUCAGGAGAAAGGGCCAUGGAGAGUAAGAAUGUCUUCCCAAAGACAGUCUUUUCGUUUAACAGAAGAAGAGAGAUUGAUGCAGGAGGGUCUGGUUUUUUACUAGAUCUACCUAGACACAAGACAUGGGAAGUUUGCGUGUGUUCUCUCAAUGCCAUUCUAUGAAAAUAGUGGGGCUUCCAUUCUUGGGAAAAUUCUUAUCCCAUGUCCCCUCCUUAGGGGGCUGAGAAGUGCCCAUUGUGAGGAUUAGUAGGAUAUAAUGAACAAAAUUCCCUGGGACAAGAGGCUGCAAACCUGAGUCUAGAGCCACAUGAUGAGGCCACCAGGCUCCGCCCUAGCCUUCCCAAGAGAGACACACCCCCCCAACCGGCCACCACUUCUCUGGUGAUUUCAUUCUCUAUAAAAGUGCAGCAAGAGCAGAAAAGCUCUCUGUAUUGGCAGCACAUUUCUCCCACGGCAAGGCAGCGGCUUUGGACAGGAGAGCGUCUGGACCUCCUGCUCCCGGGGGAGGCUCCUCCUCCUCUGUGGACUGGGGCACCCACUUCAUUUACCCUGUGCUUUCCUUGAAGAUGUUCAGAGCACAGCACAAAUGAUUUUAUUAACUCUCUAAAAUUCAGGCAGUGGUGAAAGUGGGUCUUGGUUUCAAAAUCGAAGACCUAGGGCGACAGCCGUUACCAUAUGGUGAUGUCACAGACUCUUUGCACGUCCAGAUGGACAGGAUCUUAGAAACAACCCCACAGAUAUGACACAGAGGCUAAGAGACCAGAACCCCACAGAUGUGACAUAGAGGUUAAAAGACCAGGCUGUUGUGCUAGACCAUUUGCAUUACGUCACUAAUUAUCCUUAGUAUCCUUACUCCCCUGGGCAGCUUCUUAAGUUCUCCAGAGCUCUGUUCCCUUGUCUAUAAAUGAGGACAAUGAAAAUACCAAUACCCACCUCUUAGGUUUGUUGUGAGGACAAAAUGAGAUACUUUACCUAAAGUGCUGAUGAUAAGCAUUCAA